Molecule: ribosomal RNA, 255 nt
Filed under: uncultured Desulfocapsa sp.
Lineage: Bacteria; Pseudomonadati; Thermodesulfobacteriota; Desulfobulbia; Desulfobulbales; Desulfocapsaceae
Description: partial 16S ribosomal RNA
Rfam family: Bacterial small subunit ribosomal RNA
Source: RNAcentral
GGGCACUCUAAAGAGACUGUACCGGUGGUCAAAACCGGAGGAAGGUGGGGAUGACGUCAAGUCCUCAUGGCCUUUAUGACCAGGGCUACACACGUACUACAAUGGCCGGUACAAAGGGCAGCCACUUAGCGAUAAGGAGCCAAUCCCGUAAAGCCGGUCUCAGUCCGGAUUGGAGUCUGCAACUCGACCUCCAUGAAGUUGGAUUCGCUAGUAAUCGCGGAUCAGCAUGCCGCGGUGAAUACGUUCCCGGGCCUU